RNAcentral lists this ribosomal RNA (526 nucleotides) under uncultured prokaryote. Its description in RNAcentral is "bacterial SSU rRNA". It matches the Rfam family "Bacterial small subunit ribosomal RNA", at positions 375 to 905 of the family's 1533-position model. The record is from RNAcentral.
GNGAAGACACGCUUCGACUAGUCAUAGUGCAGGGUUCCUAGAUUCAUAAGAACUGGGGGGGAAAGUCAAAUGCAUUCAAGGGGAACGAUAAUGAUUGUACCGGUGUUAAGAAGCUGCGGCUAACUACCUGCCAGCAGCCGCGGUAAUACGUAGGCAGCAAGCGUUGUUCGGAAUUACUGGGCGUAAAGAGUUCGUAGGCGGUGCGGAAAGUUUGGUGUGAAAUCUCCCGGCUCAACUGGGAGGGUGCGCCGAAUACUGCCGUGCUAGAGUAUAGGACAGGUAACCGGAAUUCCUGGUGUAGCGGUGAAAUGCGUAGAUAUCAGGAGGAACACCUGUGGUGUAGACGGCUUACUGGCCCAUAACUGACGCUGAGGAACGAAAGCGUGGGUACCAAACAGGAUUACAUACCCUGGUAGUCCACGCCCCAAACGAUGCAUACUUGGUGUGAGCCACUCACUCGGUUCGUGCCGUAACUAACCCGUUAAGUAUGCCGCCUGGGCAUUACGGCGCCAAGUAUAAACUCAAA